CAAAUGGAGAGAUCUGACCAAGACGGCACAAAAGGAAGAGGUGUUGGGGAUGUGAAGGUAUACUACAUCAUGAACACAACUGUGAAGUCUAAAACCUGAAAUAGGCUGAAAGAUAUAUGCAACUCAUCAUAUGUAAGUUUUAUAUUUAUGUGUAAUUUGAGACUCAUGGUAAACUAAUAUUGCUAUAGCAUGAUCAUUUUAAAUUUUGUUUUACCUUAAAUAAAAUAUUUCCCCCAAUUAUAUCAUCUUUGCAAUUGAUAAAGAUGUAUUUUUUAAUAAUCCAUUGGGGGUCAAAGCUAUGAUAGAAAGUUGAACAUAAUUUCUAUUUGUAGUUGCAAAAGUGCACACCAAAAGGCAUUCAAAAAUAAUUUGCAAUUGCUUUUUCAGCCGACAGUCUUUAAGGCAAGUUGUUUUC
Molecule: long non-coding RNA, 415 nt
Filed under: Sus scrofa (pig)
Lineage: Eukaryota; Metazoa; Chordata; Mammalia; Artiodactyla; Suidae
Description: lncRNA (ENSSSCG00060047740.1)
Source: RNAcentral